UGUAUAGGUUUUUCUGAUGUGAAUCAAUUAAUGAUUUUUUAACUUUAAAUUUGGAAUACGUUAUUUAUUUUUAUAGAUAGUUAGUAUAUUUUAUAUAUAUGAAUUUAUUAAAAAAAAUUAUUAACUUAAAUUUCAUAUCUAAAAUAUCAUCAAAUUGUUAAAUCAAAUAAAUUAAAAUUUUAAAAGAUUGAAUAGUUAAAUUAGUUAGAUUUAUAUGUUAAGAUAGCGCUGUGUACCAAUAUUCGUGCACGAUACAGGGGUUGCUUGGUUGUACAUAAUUGCAAUUGCACCAAAAUUAUAAAUACAUAUAGAUCUAAUUUAGUGUUUAUUUAAUGCAUUUGAAUUCAAAUGUUAUAGUUGCAACUACACGAGGAGACUCAACUGCAAUAGUGGAAACUACGUCUAAAUUGACUUUAUUUUUGUAGUGAACGAGUAACUUCAAAAUAAAUGGCUGAAACUAAAAAUCUCAAAAAACAUAGUAAUAAAAAAUUUAAAUUUCAAAUCGAAAGUAUUAUUCUUGCUCUUGAUGUUAAGUAGAGUUUUUUUAUUAAAGUUUCAUAUAAUUUGGAUUCUUCUACAUUGUUGAACUUACAAACGUGUCACAUUAGCCGUUAAAAUAGUCAUUUUUUGAGGCCCUUGAUUAUUUGAUAAAUGAUAUCAAAAAAUUAUAAAAAGUCUUAUAGCGUAAAUCAUACUUAGCGGAGCCGAUCGUUGAAUCGGAUGUUACAUUAUCGAAAAUAACUUAUAAGCAUGAUGGUCACCGUGCUUUCGAAAACACGGGAGACGUAGCCAUAUAUAUAUAUAUAUAUAUAUAUAUAUAUAUAUAUAAUUAGGCUGGAAUACUAUUAAUAGUAAAAUGCUCAUUUUGCUAUCAAGUUUUUAACCCUUGGAUGAAAAAUUGUAGGGUCAGGAUGAUAUUAGUCGGUUAGAGUUGAGUGGUCCCCCUAGGGUUGAGUGGUCCCCACUUGGGUUAUAGUAUUUAAUCAAAUGGUUAGAAAUAAUGAAAAGAGUUGAUCCAAAGGCUAAAAAACUGAUAGCAACAAUGAGAUUUUGCUACUAAUAGUAGCCUAGUCCAACUAUAUAUAUAUAUAUAUAUAUAUAUAUAUAUAUAUAUAUAUAUAGGCUGGGGCUACUAUACUCUUAUGAGUAUAGACCCCCUUGUACUCAUAAAUUUUUAACCGUUGAUUGAUGAGAUGUGUGAUUAGGAUAAUGGUGGUCCCCACUUAAAAUGAUAGUGGUCCCUCCCUUAGGGUUGAGUAGGUAGUUGGUUGAAUAGUAUGAUCUAACGGAUGAAAAUGAUCAGUGGAAUAAAUCUAAGAGCCGAAAAUGUACUUAUGAGUAUAAGGGAGCCAAUACUCAUAAAAGUAUAGUAGCCGAACUACAAAACUACAAGCACCAAUUACUUGGUAUUUUAAAAACAUAGGAGCUCAAUUCUCUCUCUUUCUCUCUCCUUUCAUGUAUUGUCCCUACAAAAGUCCUAAUGUUUUUAAAUAUGCCCCUCUAGUUUGUUACUGUUAGAGAACUGUUUAUAUUUUCAAUUUUGUCAUCAUAAAUAUAUCUCUUCAAAAAUCAUAACAGUAUAAUAUAAAAGAAUAAAAAUAUCAAAAACUAACCAGAAUUAAGUAUUUAACCUAUAGUUAACUAAACUUUUAUAACAGACUCUAACGGCAGGGACAUAUUUGAAAACAUCAGAAUUUUUACAGAAACAACAUAUAGAAAUUAAACUUUAUAGAAAUACAUUCGUCAUUCACUAUAUUUACAUAAAUAUGUAUGAAAUUAACCCUACAUUCAAUUCUACUGAGCUUAAUU
RNAcentral lists this long non-coding RNA (1809 nucleotides) under Ananas comosus (pineapple). Its description in RNAcentral is "long non-coding RNA (ACOM_LNC015663)". Lineage: Eukaryota; Viridiplantae; Streptophyta; Magnoliopsida; Poales; Bromeliaceae. The record is from RNAcentral.